This 461-nucleotide ribosomal RNA is filed under the name uncultured Eubacteriales bacterium. RNAcentral describes it as "bacterial SSU rRNA". It matches the Rfam family "Bacterial small subunit ribosomal RNA", at positions 32 to 495 of the family's 1533-position model. The record is from RNAcentral. Lineage: Bacteria; Bacillati; Bacillota; Clostridia; Eubacteriales.
AACGCUGGCGGCGUGCGUAACACAUGCAAGUCGAACGAGAAUGUACUGACAGAUCCUUAGGGUGAAGAUAGUACAGGACAGUGGCGGGUGGGUGAGUAACGCGUAAGAAACCUGCCUUUCACACCGGGAUAGCAGCUGGAAACGGCUAUUAAUACCGGAUGACGCUUUUUCCCCGCAUGAGGAAGAGGUUAAAGAAUUUCGGUGAAAGAUGGUCUUGCGUCUGAUUAGCUAGUUGGUGGGGUAACGGCCUACUAAGGCGACGAUCAGUAGCCGGCCUGAGAGGGUGUACGGCCACAUUGGGACUGAGACACGGCCCAAACUCCUACGGGAGGCAGCAGUGGGGAAUUUUGCACAAUGGAGGAAACUCUGAUGCAGCGACGCCGCGUGAACGAAGAAGGUCUUCGGAUUGUAAAGUUCUGUCCUGAGUGAAGAUAAUGACGGUAACUCAGGAGGAAGCCCCG